GACGAACGCUGGCGGCGUGCUUAACACAUGCAAGUCGAACGGAAAGGCCCUGCUUUUGUGGGGUGCUCGAGUGGCGAACGGGUGAGUAACACGUGAGUAACCUGCCCUUGACUUUGGGAUAACUUCAGGAAACUGGGGCUAAUACCGGAUAGGAGCUCCUGCUGCAUGGUGGGGGUUGGAAAGUUUCGGCGGUUGGGGAUGGACUCGCGGCUUAUCAGCUUGUUGGUGGGGUAGUGGCUUACCAAGGCUUUGACGGGUAGCCGGCCUGAGAGGGUGACCGGCCACAAGGGGACUGAGAUACGGACCAGACUGCUACGGGAGGCAGCAGGGGGGAAUAUUGCACAAUGGGCGGAAGCCUGAUGCAGCAACGCCGCGUGCGGGAUGACGGCCUUCGGGUUGUAAACCGCUUUCGCCUGUGACGAAGCGUGAGUGACGGUAAUGGGUAAAGAAGCACCGGCUAACUACGUG
This 468-nucleotide ribosomal RNA is filed under the name uncultured bacterium. RNAcentral describes it as "partial 16S ribosomal RNA". It matches the Rfam family "Bacterial small subunit ribosomal RNA", at positions 28 to 507 of the family's 1533-position model. The record is from RNAcentral.